RNAcentral lists this ribosomal RNA (350 nucleotides) under uncultured bacterium. RNAcentral's name for it is "bacterial SSU rRNA". It matches the Rfam family "Bacterial small subunit ribosomal RNA", at positions 8 to 350 of the family's 1533-position model. The record is from RNAcentral.
AGAGUUUGAUCCUGGCUCAGGAUGAACGCUAGCUACAGGCUUAACACAUGCAAGUCGAGGGGCAGCAUGUUGGUUGCUUGCAACCAAUGAUGGCGACCGGCGCACGGGUGAGUAACGCGUAUCCAACCUACCCUUGUCCAUCGGAUAACCCGUCGAAAGGCGGCCUAACACGAUAUGCGGUUCUCAGCAGGCAUCUAACGAGAACGAAAUAUGAAGGAGAAGGAUGGGGAUGCGUCUGAUUAGCUUGUUGGCGGGGUAACGGCCACCAAGGCGACGAUCAGUAGGGGUUCUGGAGAGGAAGGUCCCCCACAUUGGAAACUGAGACACGGUCCAAACUCCUACGGGAGGCA